CGACGGGUGAGUAAUGUCUGGGAAACUGCCCGAUGGAGGGGGAUAACUACUGGAAACGGUAGCUAAUACCGCAUAACGUCGCAAGACCAAAGAGGGGACCUUCGGGCCUCUUGCCAUCGGAUGUGCCCAGAUGGGAUUAGCUAGUAGGUGGGGUAACGGCUCACCUAGGCGACGAUCCCUAGCUGGUCUGAGAGGAUGACCAGCCACACUGGAACUGAGACACGGUCCAG
Molecule: ribosomal RNA, 230 nt
Filed under: uncultured bacterium
Lineage: Bacteria
Description: partial 16S ribosomal RNA
Rfam family: Bacterial small subunit ribosomal RNA
Source: RNAcentral